RNAcentral lists this non-coding RNA (27 nucleotides) under Mus musculus (house mouse). Lineage: Eukaryota; Metazoa; Chordata; Mammalia; Rodentia; Muridae. The record is from RNAcentral.
UGGCAGCACAUGGCACAGCCUAGAGGU